Molecule: long non-coding RNA, 611 nt
Organism: Dalotia coriaria
Lineage: Eukaryota; Metazoa; Arthropoda; Insecta; Coleoptera; Staphylinidae
Exons: 4
Source: RefSeq, a predicted model, not a curated record
AUGAAGAACUUAAUUGUGUGGAGUUUUAUUAUCAAUCGCACUUGGGUUCCAAGAUUAGUCUUGUAGAUACAUGGUAUUUUAAAGAUGACACAUUAACACAACAAACUGGAAUAAAUUUAUAUCCGGAAAAGAUUGCAAAUGGCGGAAACGGUACAAUAUUUAGACUGGCUCCUGGAUAUAUGAUUCCAUAUACUGAUCCUUAUACGGAAACUGGUGUAUACUGGGAGUUUGUGAAGAUGUACGCUCAACGUUUUAAUUUAACCACAUAUUCAAGUCAUAAGAGGAUAUUGAUUCCGGAUAUGUUUGAAAUGCUUGAUAAUGGAAGUGUUGAUAUUGCUUUUUAUAUGACAAGAAAAUUGACACAAUCCUCACACAGGACAGCCGAUUGCUAAAGAUCCAAAUUUGGAUAACAGAAAACUCAGCAAACGUAUCGAAAUUGAAAAAGAAAAUAAACUGAUGAGAUCUUACGCACCUAACAUAAAACACGCUUACUAUGCUUAUACAUUUCCUGAAUGUUUUAGUGUCGAUCGCUAUCAAAACAAAUCGGUAUUAAAAACUCAUCGUCUAAUGUCCGAGUAUUUAUUCGAUAGAUUUACCACUCCACAUCUGAC